GUUAAUCGGAAUUAUUGGGCGUAAAGGGCAUGUAGGUGGUUUGUUAAGCAUUAUGUGAAAGCCCUAGGCUUAACCUAGGAACUGGAUAAUGAACUGACAAGCUAGAGUGCAGUAGAGGAAGGUAGAAUUCCAGGUGUAGCGGUGAAAUGCGUAGAUAUCUGGAGGAAUACCAGUGGCGAAGGCGACCUUCUGGACUGACACUGACGCUGAGGUGCGAAAGCGUGGGUAGCAAACAGGAUUAGAUACCCUGGUAGUCCACGCUGUAAACGAUAUCAACUAGCCGUUGGGUUAUUAAAUAAUUUGGUGGCGUAGCUAACGCGAUAAGUUGAUCGCCUGGGGAGUACGGCCGCAAGCUAAAACUCAAAUGAAUUGACGGGGCCCGCACAAGCGGUGGAGCAUGUGGUUUAAUUCGAUGCAACGCGAAGAACCUUACCUACUCUUGACAUCCAAAGUACUUUCCAGAGAUGGAAGGGUGCCUUAGGGAACUUUGAGACAGGUGCUG
RNAcentral lists this ribosomal RNA (502 nucleotides) under Candidatus Portiera aleyrodidarum (primary endosymbiont of Bemisia tabaci). Its description in RNAcentral is "bacterial SSU rRNA". It matches the Rfam family "Bacterial small subunit ribosomal RNA", at positions 540 to 1043 of the family's 1533-position model. The record is from RNAcentral. Lineage: Bacteria; Pseudomonadati; Pseudomonadota; Gammaproteobacteria; Johnevansiales (SeqCode); Johnevansiaceae (SeqCode).